AUACGGAGGGUGCAAGCGUUGUUCGGAAUCACUGGGCGUAAAGGGCGCGCAGGCGGUUUGAUUAGUCAGAUGUGAAAGCCCACGGCUUAACCGUGGAAGUGCAUUUGAAACUGUCAGACUUGAGUAUCAGAGGGGAAAGUGGAAUUCCCGGUGUAGAGGUGAAAUUCGUAGAUAUCGGGAGGAAUACCGGUGGCGAAGGCGACUUUCUGGCUGAAUACUGACGCUGAGGCGCGAAAGCGUGGGGAGCAAACAGGAUUAGAAACCCUAGUAGUCC
This 274-nucleotide ribosomal RNA is filed under the name uncultured bacterium. RNAcentral describes it as "partial 16S ribosomal RNA". It matches the Rfam family "Bacterial small subunit ribosomal RNA", at positions 523 to 796 of the family's 1533-position model. The record is from RNAcentral.